Molecule: non-coding RNA, 272 nt
Organism: Macaca mulatta (Rhesus monkey)
Lineage: Eukaryota; Metazoa; Chordata; Mammalia; Primates; Cercopithecidae
Source: RefSeq, a predicted model, not a curated record
AGAGAAGAAGAGAGGGACUUCAGGGUGGCAGGGUGGCCAUCUCAAAGCUACGUUUGCACAGCAACUACAGUGUACAUACUUAGCUUCCACCCACCCUGCCAUAAGCCAUUUUCAGUCUCAAGAUCAAUUCUUUUUCAUGAGAAUGAGCACACCUCUUUCAGCAGGAUAACCACAGGGUCGUGGCAAAUAUCGUUUCAUGGGUUUCCAGCUUUGUUUUUGGAGCUCAAAGGAUAAAGUGCUCCCACAAGAAAGAAUAAAGACAGAGGAAAGAA